Molecule: transfer RNA, 83 nt
Filed under: human gut metagenome
Rfam family: tRNA
About the family: Transfer RNA (tRNA) molecules are approximately 80 nucleotides in length. Their secondary structure includes four short double-helical elements and three loops (D, anti-codon, and T loops).
Source: RNAcentral
GAGAGAUGGUCGAGUGGUUUAAGGCGGCGGUCUUGAAAACCGCAGAGGCGCAAGCCUCCGGGGGUUCGAAUCCCCCUCUCUCC